RNAcentral lists this ribosomal RNA (473 nucleotides) under uncultured bacterium. RNAcentral's name for it is "bacterial SSU rRNA". It matches the Rfam family "Bacterial small subunit ribosomal RNA", at positions 328 to 793 of the family's 1533-position model. The record is from RNAcentral.
CUCUGUCACUCCUACGGGAGGCAGCAGUGGGGGAAUAUUGCACAAUGGGGGAAACCCUGAUGCAGCCAUGCCGCGUGUGUGAAGAAGGCCUUCGGGUUGUAAAGCACUUUCAGUAGGGAGGAAGGUAGUGUAGUUAACACCUGCAUUAUUUGACGUUACCUACAGAAGAAGCACCGGCUAACUCCGUGCCAGCAGCCGCGGUAAUACGGAGGGUGCGAGCGUUAAUCGGAAUUACUGGGCGUAAAGCGCAUGCAGGCGGCCUGUUAAGUCAGAUGUGAAAGCCCGGGGCUUAACCUCGGAAUUGCAUUUGAAACUGGCAGGCUAGAGUCUUGUAGAGGGGGUAGAAUUUCAGGUGUAGCGGUGAAAUGCGUAGAGAUCUGAAGGAAUACCAGUGGCGAAGGCGGCCCCCUGGACAAAGACUGACGCUCAGAUGCGAAAGCGUGGGGAGCAAACAGGAUUAGAUACCCUGGUAG